This 468-nucleotide ribosomal RNA is filed under the name uncultured bacterium. RNAcentral's name for it is "partial 16S ribosomal RNA". It matches the Rfam family "Bacterial small subunit ribosomal RNA", at positions 28 to 507 of the family's 1533-position model. The record is from RNAcentral.
GACGAACGCUGGCGGCGUGCUUAACACAUGCAAGUCGAACGGAAAGGCCCUGCUUUUGUGGGGUGCUCGAGUGGCGAACGGGUGCGUAACACGUGAGUAACCUGCCCUUGACUUUGGGAUAACUUCAGGAAACUGGGGCUAAUACCGGAUAGGAGCUCCUGCUGCAUGGUGUGGGUUGGAAAGUUUCGGCGGUUGGGGAUGGACUCGCGGCUUAUCAGCUUGUUGGUGGGGUAGUGGCUUACCAAGGCUUUGACGGGUAGCCGGCCUGAGAGGGUGACCGGCCACACUGGGACUGAGAUACGGCCCAGACUCCUCCGGGAGGCAGCAGUGGGGAAUAUUGCACAAUGGGCGGAAGCCUGAUGCAGCAACGCCGCGUGCGGGAUGACCGCCUUCGGGUUGUAAACCGCUUUCGCCUGUGACGAAGCGUGAGUGACGGUAAUGGGUAAAGAAGCACCGGCUAACUACGUG